Molecule: ribosomal RNA, 446 nt
Filed under: uncultured bacterium
Lineage: Bacteria
Description: bacterial SSU rRNA
Rfam family: Bacterial small subunit ribosomal RNA
Source: RNAcentral
UCGGGAAUUUUGGGCAAUGGGCGAAAGCCUGACCCAGCAACGCCGCGUGAAGGAUGAAGUAUUUCGGUAUGUAAACUUCGUAAGAAUAGGAAGAAUAAAUGACGGUACUAUUUGUAAGGUCCGGCUAACUACGUGCCAGCAGCCGCGGUAAUACGUAGGGACCAAGCGUUGUUCGGAUUUACUGGGCGUAAAGGGCGCGUAGGCGGUGUGUCAAGUCAGUUGUGAAAUCUCCGAGCUUAACUCGGAACGGUCAACUGAUACUGUCACACUAGAGUACAGAAGGGGCAAUCGGAAUUCUUGAUGUAGCGGUGAAAUGCGUAGAUAUCAAGAGGAACACCUGAGGCGAAGGCGGUUGCUGGGCUGAUACUGACGCUGAGGCGCGAAAGCUAGGGUAGCAAACGGGAUUAGAUACCCCAGUAGUCCCUGAGCGGGCUGGCAAGGCGCAU